Long non-coding RNA from Siniperca chuatsi (mandarin fish), 914 nucleotides. RefSeq lists it as uncharacterized. The record is from RefSeq and is a predicted model, not a curated record. Lineage: Eukaryota; Metazoa; Chordata; Actinopteri; Centrarchiformes; Sinipercidae. The transcript is spliced from 3 exons.
GUUCUCCAGACACUGUCUCUAGAUGGAAAAGGAACAUCAUCAUCAAGCUGAUUCAUUUCUACAAGCUCAAGUCUGGGACUCGUGAGUCGUAUAUGGUGGAUGAAACAGAAUUGAAGAAGAUGAUGUUUCGAGGAGUCUGAAAAGGUGAGGGAUUGAUGCCUUACAUAUGAAGACUUGGGCAGCUGAGGAAAAGCUCCAUGCUUUACCAGAAAAUGAGAACUAUAACUGACCACCUCCAUCAGCAGCAUGCCUUUCUGUGCUCUGCCAUCAAUGACACAGGGCAGCUUGAUGCAAAGGCUGCUCUCAUCCAAUGUCUCAAACAGCGGGAAAGAAAGCUACAUCAUGCCACUGUGAUGUUUUACCAAAAUGUACCAGAUUGUUCCUGCAAUGCAUGGUUACAUCACCCCAGACAACCCCUGCCUGUCUCAGGCCCUCCCCAUGACAAGCAUACAGACACUGAUAUACAAUGAUGAUGGUGAUGAUGAUGAUGAUGAUGAUGAGGAUGAGGAUGAGGAUGACAAUGAUAGUGACUAGGACUGUAGACACUCAUGACCAAGGCUGUUUUUCUGCUUCCUGAUUUUUUAUGGUUAAUUUUAGCAAGUUUUAAUGUUUUGUUAUUUCAUUCAAAAUGUCUCCUUAAUUCAUUGCUAACCAAAAUUCAUCAAACUCAUACAGUUUAUGUUCCGUGUGUGUUUCCAUUGUAACUGGUGAGGAUCAAAUUAAUGCUGUGCUGCUGAUCAGUUGAUUAGUCUAACCGCAACAAGAUCCAUGUUUGUUUUUGUGGAGCUGUAAACUGUCCUGCCAAUCGAAACUCUCCUACCUCUGUGUUUAUAUUAAAAAAAAAGUGGACAAUUCUCAUUGCGCUCUCAAGAUGUUUUCAUGUUUUUGGUCCCAAAUUUGUGUACAGAGCUUGG